CCAGAAGCCUAGACUUCCUGAUAACAGCAUUAAAGGUCGUAGCAAGUACCCCCGACGAGUUGGGCUUCGAAAAAAUAGCAGCUUGUAGAAUCAUAGACUGAUUAACUGAGUACUGAUUAACACAGAGGCACAGAAACAGGAUGCUAAUUUCGGUAGUCCAAAUCUCAUGAUUACGAUCACACUUGCCAAAGCGAAUAUCUCACUAAGACCUAAAAUCUAUUUUUAGCGAACAGCUCACAGAGCUCCCAGUAG
This 252-nucleotide long non-coding RNA is filed under the name Drosophila guanche. Lineage: Eukaryota; Metazoa; Arthropoda; Insecta; Diptera; Drosophilidae. The record is from RNAcentral.